This 354-nucleotide transfer-messenger RNA is filed under the name Phycisphaerales. Its description in RNAcentral is "RECY01 sp007693785 Standard tmRNA". It matches the Rfam family "transfer-messenger RNA". Rfam says of the family: Bacterial tmRNA, also known as 10Sa RNA or SsrA, is named for its dual tRNA and mRNA-like properties. Its role is to liberate the mRNA from a stalled ribosome. RNAcentral also lists the same sequence under 1 other name. The record is from RNAcentral. Lineage: Bacteria; Pseudomonadati; Planctomycetota; Phycisphaerae.
GGGGCCGAUCGGUAUCGACCGGGCAGGGAAACUUUGGUGUGGCGCGUCGAGGGGUGUGCUGGCCUCGUAAAAAGCACACAAACACAAUGACUGCCGAACCGCAGUACGCUCUCGCGGCCUAAUACUGGCCGUGUGUCGUCCGCCUGACGCCCGAUGGGGCGGGCGACAUUAAACAUCGGGCUGGCUCUGGCAGGGUGCAUCCUGCUGCUGGGGCGAGGAGGUUCACAGGACGCUGGGCCGAAUGGGAGGGUGUCGGCGCCCGCCCGGAGGCCGAGAUGAAAACACCGACUACACGCGUAGAAGCGCCAAGGGGACUGUCACGGCACGGGGGUUCGAUUCCCCCCGGCUCCACUU